Molecule: ribosomal RNA, 459 nt
Filed under: uncultured bacterium
Lineage: Bacteria
Description: partial 16S ribosomal RNA
Rfam family: Bacterial small subunit ribosomal RNA
Source: RNAcentral
CCUACGGGUGGCAGCAGUGAGGAAUAUUGGUCAAUGGGCGCGAGCCUGAACCAGCAAAGUCGCGUGAGGGAAGACGGUCCUAUGGAUUGUAAACCCCGUUUGUCGGGGAGCAAAAGACGCCACGCGUGGAGUUCCGAGAGGACCCGAAGAAACAGCAACGGCUAACACCGUGCCAGCAGCCGCGUUAAUACGGAGGAUGCGAACGUUAUCCGGUUUUAUUGGGUUUAAAGGGUGCGCAGGCGGAAGAUCAAGUCAGCGGUAAAAUUGAGAGUCUCAACCUCUUCGAGCCGUUGAAACUGGUUUUCUUGAGUGAGCGAGAAGUAUGCGGAAUGCGUGGUGUAGCGGUGAAAUGCAUAGAUAUCACGCAGAACUCCGAUUGCGAAGGCAGCAUACCGGCGCUCAACUGACGCUGAUGCACGAAAGUGUGGGUAUCGAACAGGAUUAGAUACCCUAGUAGUC